Molecule: long non-coding RNA, 860 nt
Filed under: Heterocephalus glaber (naked mole-rat)
Lineage: Eukaryota; Metazoa; Chordata; Mammalia; Rodentia; Bathyergidae
Description: lncRNA (ENSHGLG00100043721.1)
Source: RNAcentral
ACCUGAGAUUCCCAACAGCAAGGACUCGGGCUGCUUUCAUCAAUGCCUUAACCCCAGCAUGUGACCGGGUAAUGUGUACACAGUCAAUAACUGCCAAAUAUCCAAAGGUGGGAGGAGGGGAAGUCUCCCGGCCCUUCUCUGCCCUGUGGGCACCUGUUCGUUCAGAAAGGCCUGCUACACAGGCACCAGCGUGGGGUGGGGUGAAUGGGAAAGGAGUGCAAUGGGAAUAUAAUGCCAAGUCAGAAGUAGCUCCUGUGCUUGUGGAGGAAGUGAGCGGACAGCGUUCAUCAGUGUGGGAGACAGACAUUUACUGAAGGAUGACACAAAGGAACAUAAAAACUGUGGCAGGAAGUGUUCUGUAGAUGUGAAUCCCAUCGAUCCACCCCCUGCAAUGGGGAGUUGGGGAGGAGAGGACAAGACUAGAAAGGACUAGAUGGAGCAAAUGGAGUGGAUCCAGCUUCCCCUCUAAUCAACCAUGUUUCAGAAUCAGGAGUGACCAAGUUGGUCACUUGAGCUAUAAUGGAGACUAGAGAUGAGGUUAUGGGCAUUCUUCUGGAGGCACACAAGGUAAGAAGGCCCAGCUACACGCUGUCCUUGGGAGCAACGAGUCCAGCUGGCCUGCCUGGAGUGACUACUCUCUCCUCCGUGCGCUGGAGCGCUGGAAGGUAUCAAGGACUGCUAAAGAAAACACCUCUGCCUUUCCCAACGCAGGCCCCGUGGAACAGGGAUAGACAAGGCUUCCAGCUGUGCCCUGCCUGUCCUCCCCCCGGGAGAGAUCCGACAGGUGGAUAGCGAGUGCAUUGUCGGGUCUUCGGGAGCUGAACUGGGCACCCGGAGGUCUCUCACUUCCUUCCCACCAC